RNAcentral lists this ribosomal RNA (694 nucleotides) under Acari environmental sample. RNAcentral describes it as "LSU rRNA". It matches the Rfam family "Eukaryotic large subunit ribosomal RNA", at positions 646 to 1283 of the family's 3401-position model. The record is from RNAcentral. Lineage: Eukaryota; Metazoa; Arthropoda; Arachnida.
GACCCGUCUUGAAACACGGACCAAGGAGCUUAACAUUUGCGCGAGUCGCUCGGUCUUGAAUAGGCCAGAGAGGCGUAAUAAACAUAAUGGUAUGAUCUCUUUAUAUAAUUUGCAUUUCGGUGUGAGUUAUAUGAGAGCGCAAUACCGACCUGCUUUAUAUGUUUUCAACGGCAUUAAAGCGGAGUCUGAGCGUAAAUGUUAAUACCCGAAAGAUGGUGAACUAUACUUGGGCAGGACGAAGCCAGAGGAAACUCUGGUGGAGGUCUGUCGCGGUUCUGACGUGCAAAUCGAUCGUCAGACCUGAGUAUAGGGGCGAAAGACUAAUCGAACCAUCUAGUAGCUGGUUCCUUCCGAAGUUUCCCUCAGGAUAGCUGGUAUCAAUUAAAUCUCUGUAGCAUCCGGUAAAGCGAAUGAUUAGAGGUCUUGGGAUCGAAACGAUCUCAACCUAUUCUCAAACUUUAAAUGGGUGCGAAGCUUGACUUUUUUAGCUCUUAAUAUUAAAGUCUUGCUUUUAAGCAGUAAGAGUUUGAUACUAAGUGGGCCAUUUUUGGUAAGCAGAACUGGCGCUGUGGGAUGAACCAAACGUCGAGAUAAGGUACCAAAUGCCGACGCUCAUGAGACCCCAUGAAAGGUGUUGGUUGCUCUAGACAGCAGGACGGUGGCCAUGGAAGUUGGAAUCCGCUAAGGAGUGUGU